GCUUGUCUCAAAGAUUAAGCCAUGCAUGUCUAAGUGUAAAUACGUCUACACUGUGAAACUGCGAAUGGCUCAUUAAAUCAGUUAUCGUUUAUUUGAUGAUCUCUUGUUACAUGGAUAACCGUAGUAAUUCUAGAGCUAAUACAUGCGUCAAGCCCCGACUCACGAAGGGGUGUAUUUAUUAGAUUCAAAGCCAACCGCGCAAGCGUACCUUGGUGAUUCAUAAUAACUUUCGGAUCGUUUACGAUGCAUCAUUCAAGUUUCUGCCCUAUCAGCUUUGGAUGGUAGGGUAUUGGCCUACCAUGGCUUUAACGGGUAACGGAGAAUUAGGGUUCGAUUCCGGAGAGGGAGCCUGAGAAAUGGCUACCACAUCCAAGGAAGGCAGCAGG
Molecule: ribosomal RNA, 386 nt
Filed under: uncultured Cryptophyta
Lineage: Eukaryota; Cryptophyceae
Description: partial small subunit ribosomal RNA
Rfam family: Eukaryotic small subunit ribosomal RNA
Source: RNAcentral